AUCCCUGGCCUCCGCCCAGUAGAUGUCAGUAGCGCCCCUCAGCUGUGACAACCAAAAGUGUCACCAGACAUUGCCAAAUGUCCCUCAGGGAGAAGAAUCACCCUUGGGUGAGAAGUCUGCACCCGAGCUUUUCACACCAUGUUCAGGAUUCUAGAGGGAAGUAUAAGAUUCAGAUUCCUGAAGGCCAAGUCAGCCAGGGUGUGUUGCGUCUCCUGGUUCAAGAUCGAGAUUCUCCAUUUACAUCAGCUUGGAGAGCAAAAUUCAACAUAUCACAUGGCAAUGAAGAGGGACAUUUUGACAUUUCGACUGACCCUGAGACCAAUGAAGGGAUAUUAAAUGUUAUCAAGGCUUUGGAUUAUGAGACUCGCCCAGCGCAAAGCCUCGUCAUUGUCGUGGAGAAUGAGGAGAGGCUCUUCUUCUGCGAGAGAGGAAAGCUUCAGCCACCAAGGAAGGCAGCAGCAAGCGCCACUGUGAGUGUGCAGGUGACAGACGCCAACGACCCACCAGCCUUUCACCCCCAGAGCUUCAUUGUCAGUAAAGAGGAGGGCGCCAGGCCUGGGACCCUGUUGGGAACUUUUAAUGCCAUGGAUCCAGACA
This 597-nucleotide small RNA is filed under the name Pongo abelii (Sumatran orangutan). RNAcentral describes it as "processed transcript". Lineage: Eukaryota; Metazoa; Chordata; Mammalia; Primates; Hominidae. The record is from RNAcentral.